Long non-coding RNA from Passer domesticus (house sparrow), 1391 nucleotides. RefSeq lists it as uncharacterized. The record is from RefSeq and is a predicted model, not a curated record. The transcript has 5 exons. NCBI's taxonomy places the organism in Eukaryota, Metazoa, Chordata, Aves, Passeriformes, Passeridae.
CCCUAUCUCCCAUGUGCUGCUCCUCAGGACUGCAUUUUCCCUGCAAUUCAGAGACCAGAACAAAAUAAUAAUUUAUGAGUGUCAAUAAUUCAUUGGGAUCCUGGGGGUGUUUUUCCUCAUGGUUGUAAAUGAUGACUACCUGGAACUUCAUGAUUUCCUUCCAUACAAUUAAAGGAACAGCUGGAGUGAUUCCUGAAGAAUGUUGUGUCCUUCUCCACUGUUAGCUCUGCGUGGAAUCCUCUGGAAUGUGGACUUGGAAGCCCUUAUGGAGCCAGCAGGGACAGAGAGGAGAUAACUGGGACAGCAUGAAACUGAUCCCAUUGGUGGGUGACACCAACAGCCAAGUUCAGAGUCCUUAUCACAAUGGGAGCAGGAAAGUGAUACAGAAAGAAAAUUCACCUCCAAGCCAGCAACAAGAAUUUGCCAUAGUGAACAUGGAAAAGAGGAUGGAACAGCUGAGAGGAGGGGGAAUUAAGCACAUUUUAAACUUUUAAAUUAAAAUAAAAACCAAACAAAACAACCCAGCUGGAUGACAGAGGGGAAAAAAGAGAAAAAGUGAAGGGGAAAGAACACAAACUCAGCAAAGUUCCAGUGUCCUCUGAAGAUUGCUGAUGCUCAGAGAUUGAGAGAGCCCAGAUUUCAUUUCUUGGCAGCUCAGCCAAGCAGGACAAUCCCUAGGGAUCAGCUCCAGCUCCAGAGUGCAUUUGGGUUUUGUCCCAGGUGAAGACUCCUCAGGGACCUGCUCACCUCAACCUUCAGCUCCUCAGCAAUCAGCUCAUUCAUUCCCACCCAUGAAGUUCUUCUGCAGCUUAACCAAUCCAUGAUUUUAAGGAAUUUUCUGUCUUAAGCUUUCAUGGCUUUUUUGGGCCUUUUCUCAGUUUUUUUCAUUAUUGCCACCUGCAUGGAAAGAGGGAAAUGGUUGUGUUUAAAGCACCUGUGAAAUCAUAAAGCAGCUGUGAAAUGAAAUAUUUGGAAACCAAUGAGACUCAACUCUGCUCUUCUCAUGGUCUCGCUUUCAGUACUUUUCUGUGUCAUGUUUUAUCACUCAUGACCAGCAUCACAGAAUUUAAUUGUAUCAAUUUUAUUCAGCAGAGCAAAGGAGCUUGGCUUCAAGCAUAUUUAGGAACUAAAACUUCCGUGGGAUAUUUAAUCUCAUUUUGAAAUCUAUGCCUUGGGUGUGUUGCAGAAGAGCCCACGAGGGUUCCUCAUCCCAAUUCCUUCUGUCCCUGUGCAUGAACACAUCUUCCUCUUUCCCAGUCUUUUUUCCUACAGAAAUUGUUCCUUGUGCCAACCUGUGAACAAGAUAAAGAAUUCCACUGAUGUUCUCCAGAACUGGAAUGGUUUGGGUUGGAAGGGACCUUAAAGAUCAACUCAUUCCAAUACAGAGACAC